ACCAAGUAUUAAAGGUCAUGCCUGCCCAGUGAAAUUUCAACGGCCGCGGUAUCCUAACCGUGCAAAGGUAGCAUAAUCACUUGUCUUCUAAAUAAAGACCCGUAUGAACGGCUAAAUGAGGGCCUAACUGUCUCCUAUAGCUAAUUAAUGAAACUAAUCCCCCAGUACAAAAGCUGGGAUAACCCCAUAAGACGAGAAGACCCUGUGGAGCUUAAAUUAACAUGCUAACACCAAUCUACCCCACCCCAUGCCAUAGCACCUAAUUUUAGUUGGGGCAACUGUGAAAUCAAAAAGAACUUUCACAAUACGGACACCCGCACCUAGGCCAACACGCCCAAGUAGUAAUAUAGCAGACCCAGUAAAACUGAUCAACGAACCAAGUUACCCCAGGGAUAACAGCGCAAUCCCCUUUCAGAGUCCAUAUCGCCAAGGGGGCUUACGACCUCGAUGUUGGAUCAGGACACCCAAAUAGUGCAGCCGCUAUUAAUGGUUCGUUUGUUCAACGAUUAACAGUCU
This 516-nucleotide ribosomal RNA is filed under the name Coleonyx variegatus. RNAcentral describes it as "partial 16S ribosomal RNA". It matches the Rfam family "Bacterial large subunit ribosomal RNA", at positions 1838 to 2596 of the family's 2925-position model. The record is from RNAcentral. Lineage: Eukaryota; Metazoa; Chordata; Lepidosauria; Squamata; Eublepharidae.